This 445-nucleotide ribosomal RNA is filed under the name uncultured bacterium. Its description in RNAcentral is "partial 16S ribosomal RNA". It matches the Rfam family "Bacterial small subunit ribosomal RNA", at positions 354 to 796 of the family's 1533-position model. The record is from RNAcentral.
GUAAGGAAUAUUGGACAAUGGACGCAAGUCUGAUCCAGCCAUGCCGCGUGAAGGAUUAAGGUCCUCUGGUUUGUAAACUUCUUUUAUAAGGGACGAAAAAAGGCUUUUCUAAGUCGUCUGACGGUACCUUAUGAAUAAGCACCGGCUAACUCCGUGCCAGCAGCCGCGGUAAUACGGAGGGUGCAAGCGUUAUCCGGAUUCACUGGGUUUAAAGGGUGCGUAGGCGGGCAGGUAAGUCAGUGGUGAAAUCCUAGCGCUUAACUCUAGGACUGCCAUUGAUACUAUCUGUCUGGAAUAUUGUGGAGGUAAGCGGAAUAUGUCAUGUAGCGGUGAAAUGCUUAGAUAUGACAUAGAACACCUAUUGCGAAGGCAGCUUACUACGCAUAUAUUGACGCUGAGGCACGAAAGCGUGGGGAUCAAACAGGAUUAGAUACCCGUGUAGUCC